GGCAAUUAUUCCUGUAAUGGUUUUUUGUUUAAAUGUUUUUUCGCCUAAGGAUGAGUCUGCGGCCGAUUAGGUAGUUGGUUAGGUAAUGGCUUACCAAGCCGUUGAUCGGUACGGGUUGUGAGAGCAAGAGCCCGGAGAUGGAACCUGAGACAAGGUUCCAGGCCCUACGGGGUGCAGCAGGCGCGAAACCUCCGCAAUGUGAGAAAUCGCGACGGGGGGAUCCCAAGUGCCAUUCUUAACGGGAUGGCUUUUCAUUAGUGUAAAGAGCUUUUGGAAUAAGAGCUGGGCAAGACCGGUGCCAGCCGCCGCGGUAACACCGGCAGCUCUAGUGGUAACAAUUUUUAUUGGGCCUAAAGCGUCCGUAGCCGGUUUAAUAAGUCUCUGGUGAAAUCCUGCAGCUUAACUGUGGGAAUUGCUGGAGAUACUAUUAGACUUGAGACCGGGAGAGGUUAGAGGUACUCCCAGGGUAGAGGUGAAAUUCUGUAAUCCUGGGAGGACCGCCUGUUGCGAAGGCGUCUAACUGGAACGGUUCUGACGGUGAGGGACGAAAGUUAGGGGCGCGAACCGGAUUAGAUACCCGGGUAGUCCUAACUGUAAACGAUGCGGACUUGGUGUUGGGGUGGCUUUGAGCUGCUUCAGUGCCGAAGGGAAGCUGUUAAGUCCGCCGCCUGGGAAGUACGGUCGCAAGACUGAAACUUAA
RNAcentral lists this ribosomal RNA (700 nucleotides) under uncultured archaeon. Its description in RNAcentral is "bacterial SSU rRNA". It matches the Rfam family "Archaeal small subunit ribosomal RNA", at positions 156 to 859 of the family's 1478-position model. The record is from RNAcentral.